AGAAUCAACGCUGGCGGCGUGCCUCAGACACGCAAGUCGAACGCGAAAGUCCCCUUCGGGGGGCGAAGUAGAGUGGCGCACGGGUGAGUAACACGUAGGUAAUCUACCUUUGGAUGGGGAAUAACAACCGGAAACGGUUGCUAAUACCGCAUAAUGCAGCGGCACCUAAUGGUGACAGUUGUUAAAGCGGGGGAUCGAAAGACCUCGCGUCUGAAGAGGAGCCUGCGGCGGAUUAGCUAGUUGGUAGGUAACGGCCUACCAAGGCUACGAUCCGUA
This 276-nucleotide ribosomal RNA is filed under the name uncultured soil bacterium. RNAcentral's name for it is "partial 16S ribosomal RNA". It matches the Rfam family "Bacterial small subunit ribosomal RNA", at positions 26 to 285 of the family's 1533-position model. The record is from RNAcentral.